RNAcentral lists this ribosomal RNA (497 nucleotides) under uncultured bacterium. RNAcentral describes it as "partial 16S ribosomal RNA". It matches the Rfam family "Bacterial small subunit ribosomal RNA", at positions 28 to 507 of the family's 1533-position model. The record is from RNAcentral.
GAUGAACGCUGGCGGCGCGCCUAACACAUGCAAGUCGAACGGAGCGACGAGAAGCUUGCUUUUCUUAGCUUAGCGGCGAACGGGUGAGUAACACGUGAGUAACCUACCCUGGAGAGUGGGACAACAGCUGGAAACCAGUGCUAAUACCGCAUAAGCUUACGAACCGCAAUGGUAAAGAGGGAAAAGGGGUUUUUCGCUUAAGGAUAGACGGAUGCGCGUUGCGUUAGUUAGUUGGGAAGGUGACGGCCUACCAGAGCAACGAUGCGUAGCCGACCUGAGAGGGUCAACUGCCACACUGACACUGAGACACGGCCCAGACUCCUACGCGAGGAAGCAGUCGGGAAUCUUCCGCGAUGGGCGAAAGCCUGAUGGAGCACCGCCGCGUGAAUGCUGAAGGACUUCGGCUUGUAAAAGGCAGUAAGUAGGGAGGAAGAAAUCUGUAAGCAUCAGUGAACAUAUUGACGGUACCUAACAAGAAAGCACCGGCUAACUACGUG